Molecule: ribosomal RNA, 486 nt
Filed under: uncultured bacterium
Lineage: Bacteria
Description: partial 16S ribosomal RNA
Rfam family: Bacterial small subunit ribosomal RNA
Source: RNAcentral
AUUGAACGCUGGCGGCAUGCCUUACACAUGCAAGUCGAACGGCAGCACGGGUGCUUGCACCUGGUGGCGAGUGGCGAACGGGUGAGUAAUACAUCGGAACAUGUCCUGUAGUGGGGGAUAGCCCGGCGAAAGCCGGAUUAAUACCGCAUACGAUCUACGUAUGAAAGCGUGGGACCUUCGGGCCUCGCGCUAUCGGGUUGGCCGAUGGCUGAUUAGCUAGUUGGUGGGGUAAAGGCCUACCAAGGCGACGAUCAGUAGCUGGUCUGAGAGGACGACCAGCCACACUGGGACUGAGACACGGCCCAGACUCCUACGGGAGGCAGCAGUGGGGAAUUUUGGACAAUGGGCGAAAGCCUGAUCCAGCAAUGCCGCGUGUGUGAAGAAGGCCUUCGGGUUGUAAAGCACUUUUGUCCGGAAAGAAAUCCUUGGCCCUAAUACGGUCGGGGGAUGACGGUACCGGAAGAAUAAGCACCGGCUAACUACGUG